CAUUAGGUGGCUGAACUUAAGCGUUAGUCUUUUAAACUUAUUAUAGUGAAAACUCCUAAUGU
RNAcentral lists this transfer RNA (62 nucleotides) under Bahadzia jaraguensis. RNAcentral describes it as "transfer RNA Lysine". Lineage: Eukaryota; Metazoa; Arthropoda; Malacostraca; Amphipoda; Hadziidae. The record is from RNAcentral.